This 397-nucleotide ribosomal RNA is filed under the name uncultured bacterium. Its description in RNAcentral is "bacterial SSU rRNA". It matches the Rfam family "Bacterial small subunit ribosomal RNA", at positions 28 to 429 of the family's 1533-position model. The record is from RNAcentral.
GACGAACGCUGGCGGCGUGCUUAACACAUGCAAGUCGAGCGGUAAGGCCCUUUCGGGGGUACACGAGCGGCGAACGGGUGAGUAACACGUGGGUGACCUGCCCUCAGCUCUGGGAUAAGCCUGGGAAACCGGGUCUAGUACUGGAUAUGACUCCAUGACGCAUGUUGUGGGGUGGAAAGCCUUGUGCGGCUGAGGAUGGGCCCGCGGCCUAUCAGCUUGUUGGUGGGGUGAUGGCCUACCAAGGCGACGACGGGUAGCCGGCCUGAGAGGGCGACCGGCCACACUGGGACUGAGACACGGCCCAGACUCCUACGGGAGGCAGCAGCGGGGAAUCUUGCGCAAUGGGCGAAAGCCUGACGCAGCGACGCCGCGUGAGGGAUGACGGCCUCGGUGUAAC